This is a small nucleolar RNA of Erinaceus europaeus (western European hedgehog), 122 nucleotides long. The record is from Ensembl. NCBI's taxonomy places the organism in Eukaryota, Metazoa, Chordata, Mammalia, Eulipotyphla, Erinaceidae.
UCAGCACCUAAACCCAAGGGCCACUAUUGUAAUAGUGGCUAAACACAGGUGCUAACAGCAAAGGGUACCUGUUCGCCUUUGGAGGACUUCUUGUGCCCUUCAAAUUUAGAGGUUCUACACAC